GUGCCAGCAGCCGCGGUAAUACGUAGGGUGCGAGCGUUAAUCGGAAUUACUGGGCGUAAAGUGUGCGCAGGUGGCCUCGCAAGUCGAGUGUGAAAUCCCCGGGCUUAACUUGGGAAUUGCGCUCGAAACUACGGGGCUCGAGUGUGGCAGAGGGAGGUGGAAUUCCACGUGUAGCGGUGAAAUGCGUAGAGAUGUGGAGGAACACCAAUGGCGAAGGCAGCCUCCUGGGCCAACACUGACGCUCAUGCACGAAAGCGUGGGGAGCAAACAGGAUUAGAAACCCGAGUAGUCC
This 292-nucleotide ribosomal RNA is filed under the name uncultured bacterium. RNAcentral's name for it is "partial 16S ribosomal RNA". It matches the Rfam family "Bacterial small subunit ribosomal RNA", at positions 505 to 796 of the family's 1533-position model. The record is from RNAcentral.